Molecule: long non-coding RNA, 7817 nt
Organism: Cygnus olor (mute swan)
Lineage: Eukaryota; Metazoa; Chordata; Aves; Anseriformes; Anatidae
Exons: 3
Source: RefSeq, a predicted model, not a curated record
GGCCGGGCCGGGCGGAGGCGGCGGGUGCGGCGACGGGGCAGCGCGGGGGGCUUCUCCUCACGGCGCCGCUCCGCUGGGGAAAGCAACCGCCGCUCUCGCGGGGUGACGGGGUUCGGCCGGUACCGAACGUCCACACACACACACGCACGCACCUCCCUGAGGUAAAAUAUCCCCCACACACACACCCCAGCGGAGCCUCCCUGAGGUAAAACCAGGGAAAAGGAAAAGGAAACCGGGGUUCAGCCGCCCCCGACCCUCACAGCGGCUCGCGGUGCAGCCGGUGCCGAGCGCUCCGCUCGCCCCGUUCCCCUCAGGGCGCGGCGCCAACGGCCACAGCGGGGGGAUCGCGCCUGAGGCGGCGGCCGCAGCGCCCCGAGCCCGGACCGAGCCCCCCAGCACCUGAGGGGAGCCCCCCGGUCCCACCGGCACCCCCGGCCCCGCUCCGAGCCUCCCAGCGCCACCAGCCCGCGCUCGGCUGAGGGAGACCCGCGAAGAGCUGUCAGCAGCGGCCGCCUGCCGAGCGGCUCCGCGGUUUCUCCGAGUUUUUCAGAAAACUCCGUCCUGCACUUGCUGAGUGCGGGCACGUGAAGCAGUUUAACCCUUGCUGGGGUUUAAGUUAUCACUCGGUUACCCGCUCAAGCACGCUCGUUACAGGCAGAGGGUAGAACUAAUUGGAACAUGUCUCAUUAGGUAAUGCAGUGGAAGCUCCUAGGAAGAAUGUUACUUUUUUUUUAAAGAAAAAAAAAAAAGGUAUUUAAGUAUACUUGCAUGAACUAAGGACUAUCAUUGUAUUAAUUUGUAUUUCAGUAAUUACAUAAGAACCAGAUGUGAAAACUGCACAUUGCUUUUUAUGCUCAUUUUAAAGCUUAAGCAGUCCCUAGCUAGAAAUAGUAAUCAUAAAGAAAUCCUAAAAUAAGUUGCAUAUAAAACAUCUACAGUUUUCCACAAAUACUGAAUAAUUUAUUUUAUCCAACUAGCAGACAUAAUGCAAUGACAAUAAAUAAAUAGCAACACACUAUCAUAGAUUUCCUUUGACCUAAAACACUAACUGAAAAUGAAAUACCUGGCAGCUAAGCAAAAAACAAGGCAAUUAAAUAUGACUCUCCAAUGAAAAGCAAAGUACAGAAGACAUUCUGAACUAUAAAGAAAGAAUGCUCAAGUUUAAACUUAUCCUUAAUUGACCUUUGCAUUUCUAACCCCACUACAGGCUUCAGAAAAGCGCAGAACACACAGAAUGGACAAUAACAUUUAGAUACAAAUAGGACAGCAUGCAUUAAGACAAGUUUUUGGCCUGAAGCUCUUGGCUUCAUCGGCUUUUAUUAUUUUACCGAUAAAACAGAUUUUGUAGCAGAAUUUGAUUAGUCUUCAAAAAAUACCUAAAUUAAUUUGCUAGUGAGAUGAGAAGUGUGAUUUGAAAGCACGGAUAUUCCAAAUCAAUUUGACAUCAGCACCAACUUCUGUCAAGGUGAUAAUAGGAAAAGUAUAGAACUUUUCUGAGGCAGGAGUUUAAACAGACUGAUAGAUAUUUCUAUUUUACCUUCUUUUCAGUUAGGACAUGUAGGUAUAUUUUAAGUUUUGCCAUUUUUGUAGCAUUUACCAAAAUGCUUACAUUACAUUUGUAGACAUCAGUACUUUGCUAUGACAGUUGUCAGUUUAAAAUUGGUAUCCUGUUUUGCAUAAUGACCAAAAGGCUUUGACAGCUCUCAGUAAAAGAUCAGUAAGCGUAAAUUUAGUUCUGGAGAGAAGUGCUAUUUUCUUCUUUAAUGCUAAAAAUAAUAAAUAAAUACAUUUAUACUAAAUUUUAACAUACAGAAGAUGAACCAUUAUCUGCUAUGUUGUUUGUCUGGUUUAUUAAAUGAACAAACAACAUGAUAGACAAGCAUAAUCCAGUCCAUCUCUACUUUAAAGUUGAGAAAGUGUAUGGUAUCUGUUCUAAAAAGUGAAAUUUAAUGAACCGGAAGGAAGCUGAAAUGUAAAAGAAAUACAGAGAUUUGAAUUCCCGGUGUUUUUUGUUUGUUUUUACAAACUGAUUAAAAUAGUUCUUUGGAGUAUCAAAGAAAUGCCUCUAACGCUAUGUUUUUGCGAUCUCAAAAUAGUUAAGCUCUACUAAACUGAAAGAAGUUUGUACAACAGUUUUAAUAUAUCAGCUGUCUGGAUAGGAAAUAUAAGCUGAUUUCAAUAUUCAGUCAAAACUACUGGAUUAAGAUUAUGUAUUAAGGGAGGAGAUCCAACAAUUUGAUCUAUGUAGCUACAGGCAGGGGUCUCUUGUUAGAGUAUCUAACUCAGAUUUAUGAAGCCUAAUUAUUUAACUUGCUAUUUUUGUUUCCAAGUUCUAUGCAGCAUUUAACAGGUUUUUACAAAUUUCAGUAUUUAUUUUUGUGGUUUAAAAUUUCUCAGAGUCAAAAAAAAAAGACUUUCAGUAGUUUAUUUAAACAUGAGUUGUCUUCUGAACAGGUGCCUAAUAUUGUCUCCUGUUCCAACAGUUCAACCUUUUUUUUUUUUAGUAAGGAGGUAUAUUAUAAAAAGGCAAGUGUAAUAUAAAAGAGCUAAAAGUUGAAAACAAGUAUAGUACAGAGGCUGAUUUGUAUAAUAUAAUGGCUGAUAUUACAUAUAUGAGUUUUCUGUUUUAGUUUUAUGGAGCGCAUAUUUAUUUGAAAAAAUAGAUCUUCACAGCAAUAGCCAGUAGUAGCAGUGAACAUAUGAUGUCAUUCCACACUCCAGCCUCACUGGAAGAUUACUUACUUGCCUUCCCCCAAAAAAAAACUGAAUCCAGAGUCAAGCUAGGAUUAGAAAUCCCAGUACAUUUGACUCUUUACAUAUAUGCAUCUUCUCUGGCCCUACUUCUCUUGUGCCUACUUAGAACUGUAGCAGAUUUUAAAAGUAGAAUAUGUUAAGGGUAAAACAUUUUUCUCACUUGUCAACCAUUUAAAAAGAGUUUUUACAGAAGAUGCUACCAUGUUUUCAUAAACUGAGGAAUAGGCUGUGUACACUAGAUUAUAUACUAACUUGUUUAUCCAUAAAUAUUUGCAAUUGGUUAUUUUUUUCCACUCAGCCUACUUUAUACCCAGUUUCUACUAUUGUAGAGCUCACUCAUCAACUAAUUAUAUAGCAAAUUUGAUAAGGUGUUUUUGGUCUUUUAGCUUUGUUAUGGUUGACUACUCUGAACUGAUAAAAAAAGUAUUACUGCCCACCCCUGUUUUCAGUAAUCACAUAUUAUGAAAUAGCAGUUUGGGAAAUUCCCAUCCUUUGUUUUCUUUCCAUAAUUUACUCUUUGGAAAAGUAUAGGUGGUUCUUUUGUUCUAUGGUAAGAGAUGAUGGAUUCUGUAAGCAUAUUCCUGGUUUACAUUUGCUAAUGAUUCUUCUGUUCAAAUUUGAUUCUCAGCUAUCUUUUUGUGCUUGUUUAUGUUUCAUAUCAUUACAAAUAGCUAAAUUCUUUUAAGUCAUCGUGGUCAACUAACUGGAGUUUGGAUUAAAAUGAAGUAAGUGCAGGCAAAUAUGACACUAGAUGUUCUUCAUUUUAUGAAGUUUCACGCUACAGUAGUAAGUAGGCACAUUGUAGAAAUUACCUUAACAACAUAAAGAUUUCAAUCAUAAAUGAACUGGUGUCAGUCAUAGUAAAUUUCACCUUAUCUGAUGAUGUCAGCUACCUGUUAUAAAAGAAAUAAUGGACCUGUUAAACAUGUAAAGCAUUCAGAUACCACACUACAAAGCUGGUACAAAACACCUGUGAUAACUUCUGGCAGUUUCUGAAAGACAAUUUAAUGUCUCAUAGCUCUGGUAUCUCAAAGAAUGAUGUGGUAUAUUCACUCAGUUAUUUUAGGCAUUCACAGUUUAGAUGCAACAGGUACAAAGCUUGUCUGAAGUUCUUAUUGAAUCAUAACUUGAAGUAGUGACCAAGUGAAUCACUGUUCCUCACUUCUUGUCUCUAUCAGGAGAAAGUGCUUUGUCAUACCCACACACACAUUUUUUUGUUUGUUCCUGUAGUGAAUGGGAAGGUACAUGUACUGCAUGACCAAUUCUUUUGUUACUUAUUUUUUGUAAGCACCUUUAAUUUACACUUUGGAAUACAAAAUAGAGCAGAGAAGGGAUAAUACAACACCUGAUCUUCUAUUUCUGUUCCCACUCAACAUAUAGAGGGUAGAAGCAAUCCUUUAGAUUCCAAAGCUGCAUAAUUUUAUAUCUCAAAAAAAAUCACUGAUAAAAUAGGAAGCUCAGAAGCAUUAAACAUGAGCAUUUUUUCCACCAUAAAGCCCAUGACAGCUAGUCUCAUGAACAGUACCUUAUGAGAAAUGUCUAGUAAAGCAGCCUAACAAAACUACCUGUCCUUAACAUUCAGAACAGAAACACAGAAGAUGACAACAAGAUAUGAAGUUCCAACACUUUGUUGCAAGUGCCCAUACUUAAAAUUGGAUAAAGGAUUACCAUCUGAUCAAUGGGUUUCACAUUUUACAACUACAUGAAGGAAGUCACAAGACAGCAUUACCUAGUGUAAAAUAAAGUUAACAAAACAAGACAGGCUGAAAUGAACAAUAGUUCUGUCAUUUCACAGGCUCUGAGCACAAGACUGUGGUUUUAUAGUGUGCUGCCUUCAUUAACAACAUUGUCUUAAGAUACUACAGUCCUGCUCUCUGCUCUGCCGAUUUGUUCUCCUUUUUCAGAUCACGUGAAUGAUUGGCACGUGGCUGCUGCCACCUCAGGGGUCUGGGAUCUGUGAGCUGGGACACUGACACCAGAUGGGACACGCCUGGCCAGAUUGUCUCCUGGAUUUGGACCUCUAUUACAACAUGAAUUACCUUCUUGAGCCUUUUGAUAAAAGAGGAAAAACAUGAAGAAUGCUAGGUGGAAGGAUGCUUUAACCUUUGGACGCAGCUUCCUCUGACGCGUAACACUGAAGAGCCAUACUAGUUGCAGUCUGGAAGAGGCAUGGAAGAACGAGAGUCUGGAGCAAGACAGACAUCCUUUGUUCACAGCUGGGAAACAGGUUACCCUUGAAAAAAGUUUUUUAAAAAAGUAUUCACUGCUAUGAUUUGAUGCUGACAUGUAUGAUGUGGAGUACUACAGAUAACAAGGAAGGUGAGAAACAAGAUCCUAUGUCAGAUGGGUUUAUAAAAUAGAGAAGCCUCUUUUAUUCCCCUUUCCUAAACCUUGUUGAGUGUUGAAUCAAAGGAUCAACUAAUAGUUUAAAACCUUCAAAAGGGAACAGCCAGGAGUCAAAGCCAUCAAGGUACGUUACCACGUGCAGGAAAAGAGGGAACAGUGAUAUAUGGAGUGAAUACAUCGGGAGGUAUGGAUGGCUGUGAUUUGAACUGAGUCCCGGGUGAUGUUCUCUUACACCACUAGCACACAUCUGGGGAGCUGUCUUCACAUCGUUAUUGGCUAACUUUGGAAGCUGGUUAGAUCUGCCUGGGGUCUGUAAUAUACAUCUGCACCUCUACAGCCAGACAGCGUUACUUUCUGUCUCUUACUUGAGUAUAUAAUACUAGUAAUAUUGGUAGGAGGAACGUCAUGAAGGCACGCAGAACCUAUUGAUUGAUCACAGGUCCAGCUGAUCGGUCAGGAUGGGUUAAUAUCUUAAAAAGACUAUUUAGUUUAUGGUAGGAUGCUAUACUUCAAUUAGUUUUAAGCCAAGAGAGCCAAAUAUCUUGAAAAGGUGUAUGGGGUCUACACAAAGUUUCUAGGUUAAAGGUAAAGUGUAUUACAAGCAAAUCAUAUUAGUUUUGCUGUCUAAGAAUUGGAGGGGUAUAUAGGGAAAAAAAAUUAAGAUCCCCUCCAAAAAAAACAAAACAACAACAAAACCUACAACCUCUUGUGUUUUAGAUCCUGAUAUUCCACAGACAGGCACAGACAUUUCAGAAGGAGUGGGGCUGGGAAACGUGCAGUCGAGGCAAAGCCACUCCUCAGUAAUGUGUCUUCCAGACAUUUCUGCAGAAGAUGCAGGAAGUAAAUUAGUUGUGACUUAGCUUUGAGAGAACACUAAAUCUUAAUCAAUUCUUAUUCCUCGUUGGCAACACAUCUGCUGGGAACUGUUUCUUGUUCAACAAUGGCUCAAAAAAGAAGCAGGAGAGAAGUGAGGAAACCACCAAGUUGCAAAACAUCAGCACUUCACUCCUCUUACCUUGUAACUUCUUGGUAAGAGUGAGAAUAGACGCUUUCAUAAGAUGUAGCAAAGCUGCAAAACCACAACCAAUGAUAAAUAAUAGCCCUGCCCGAAGAGGAGAAAAUAGCAAAUUUCUACGCAGAAUUCAUAUUUUUGCUGACCAGAGCUAAAAGCUGCCUCUCAGCAGCAUGAUCACUAGCAAUCAGUUCGCUUGUGGCCUGCACGCACACACUGCAGUCACAAGAAGUCACCACUUCCAUAGUCCAGGAUGGCAAGAGGAGCAGAAACAUGAAAUUGCCUUCAGAAGUUUAUCAUUUGUUCAAUAUUGUUAUCAGUGAAUGAGCAAAUUGAACACUGGUCUACAUAACCUAAAGAAGAAAAGCAAAGUUGUGUAAGAAUUACUUAAAUCUGAAUGACCCAGAGAUUCUCCAAGAUUUAUUGUUACUAUAAUAGAUUCAAGAAGUGGCUUUACUGCUACUGGUGUAACCUCAAGUGCCAACCUUGUGAUCUGGCAACCUGGUUUCAGAGAUGGAAAACGUCCAAAAUUCUUCGCAGAAGGCCCAUAGCUUGAUAUAACUCUUGGAUCUAGGAAAAGUACAAGGCCCUUGAAGACGUAACGUUCAUAAUGAACCUUCAUGGGCCAGCGGGGCUCCAUGCUGCAACCAAGACUUGAUAAAAGCAGAUCUUGUCUGACAGAGAAAAGAGAUCCUGGAAGACGACUGCCAUCUCGAACAUAAAUGCCUCUUACUGGAGGAAGGUUACAAGACAUAUUUACCUAGGACAGAAUUAAAUUUUACUUCACUUUUUUUGAGAGAGAAGGAGUGAGACCAUUACAGACAAGGAGACCAUUACUUGAAGCUGCACAUCACUUUGCAUUAAACUAAAUAACUUAAUCAACAAACUUUCUUUAAAAAGAGGCCAAAUGCAUUUUUAAAGAUGAAAAUGCACAAGAAAAAUGUAAAGAUGGUUUUCAAAUAGUAAAAUACUUGUCAAAUUUAUUCUUUAAAAGCAAUAAACAUAUUAAGGUGUAAGAUGCAAAGGUCUGUAAAAUUAUUAGCUUCAUAUUACUCCAAAAUAAUGGCCACAAGGAUGCCUUAAAAGCGUGGUGGAUUUAACGUUAAAUUUAUUCCUGAACCUGUUGAGUUUUUUUAAUGUACGCUCUGCUCAUAGGCUUGGCUGUGUCUUCCCACCCAUCUUCUUCCAACAUUAAUCACUCCUGUUUUCUUAAACACCGAACAUGGCUGUUAGCAGAGAGCCUUCUGAAAGAUUUGCGCUUGGAACUGAGGUGAGGUGUAGAUUGUAACAAAAGGAAAAGAAGGCAGAAUGAGAUAUAGAUAGAUGGAUGGAUCGAUUGAUCUGUGUAAACUAAGUGGAGCAUGAGAACAGGGAAGAAGAAACCCACCCACUCCAGGUGAAUCCUCUUUCCACUCUGAAGAAACGGGUCACGUUUCUCCAUUCUUUACAGUCCCCUCCCAAGCCCAGCUCCUAGGGACAGGGGACGUGGGAGCCCAGGGGAAGGAGGCCCGCUGGGGUCGAGCAGCAGCAGCAGCAGCGGCCGGCCCCCGGCCCGAGCUGGCAGCAGGCAGACAAUGGGCGAGCCGCACAAUGAGCGGAGCGCAGCCUUCCAUAUUGCACGCCAGCCCAGCUACAAACAGCUCCUCCGCGGCCACCGCAAAAUCGCUCGGGGAGGGGGUGGGGCCGAGAAUCUCAUUAUCGAAAA